GACAAAUUUCUUCAUUGCAUCCAAAUAUUUAGAUCCUUCUGGAAGUGUAUCGGAGACCUGGGAGAGUAAAAUGUUUAGUUACGUACUAAUUUCGGGGCGGUGACACGUCGAAAUUGCAAAUUUUUUCAACUGCGAAAUACGAGAAGGAAAUAAAAAUUGCGUUACGUCGGAAAUCACCUUAAGAUGAUUCAGAUGGUCACCGCAAAACGCCUUUUUUUUGGGAGGGGUCACUGGAGAUCUGCUGUAGCAGCUUCAAAAACUCUUAUUUUUACAAAUAAAACAUUGCUAACUACUCUUCAAAGGUGUAAUAUGAGUACAAAUGCUCAAAAUAAAAAAACUUUUAAUUAAAGUAAAAAAAGAACAAUGAAAAUUCAAAGGGAAAAAAAUAAUUCUAAUAAAAUUUGCGGUAAGGGAAAAAUUGUAACGAACAAACACUAUAAUUUUAACAUUUUUAUAUACGAUUUUUGAUUUCCGAACUUACUUUUUCACCAAGUUAUAAAUGAUAUAAAUGCCUGUGCUGAGUAAACUGCUUGUUUAUUUUUUAGCUUACAUAUACUAUGAAAUAAAAUUUAGUCUUACUUAAGGCUAGUAUUUGAGGUAAAGUUACUUUUAUAAGUUUCACACAUUUUCUAUUCGACAGGCUACCAAAUGCAAAUACAUCUCAAUUAACAAUAUAUUUAUGUACAUACUUUGUAUGUUGAUAUUUAUAAAGAAAUGCAACUGUUUGUAUUUACCAUUGUUUAUUGAAAAUUUUUCGUUAUUGAAAUAAUUUACACACAUACAUAUGUAUUAUUCUUUGUUUAUUUAACACUUUAUUUGAAUAUAUAAAAAGCGACAUUUAUAUAGAAACAAUUAUAUUAGAUAAGAAAAUUAUUGUACUUUUAUCCCGCACGUAUGUAUAUAACACAUGUACAAGUAUCUGGUUAACCAAAACAUAUUGACACAAUUUGCACUAACGAAAUACGAAUGUAAACACAAUUUCAAGAAUGUCAAGCAAGAAAUUUGUUUACACACAAAUAGCGAGACCCGUCAAUGGAAUUUUGCAUGUUCACUUCACUGUUAACCGACUGAGACUGAUUCGCAGGACCGCUAACAGCACAACAAAACUGUAUUGUAUAUCCUUUUACACGAACUACUAACAGCAUCGUGCGAACAGUGUUGUCUCUUAAGCAAGGCGGACAGUAAAAUAUUAUUA
Long non-coding RNA from Ceratitis capitata (Mediterranean fruit fly), 1195 nucleotides. RefSeq lists it as uncharacterized. The transcript has 3 exons. The record is from RefSeq and is a predicted model, not a curated record. NCBI's taxonomy places the organism in Eukaryota, Metazoa, Arthropoda, Insecta, Diptera, Tephritidae.